CAAUGAUUGACAGGGAGCUAAGAUGGAGGUGGCUCUCUAUACUGACUGCCAGGUGUAAAGGGCGGAGCUUAUAACAAUGAUUGACAGGGAGCUAAGAUGGAGGCGGCUCUCUCUAUACUGACUGCCAGGUGUAAAGGGCGGAGCUUAUAACAAUGAUUGACAGGGAGCUAAGAUGGAGGCGGCUCUCUCUAUACUGAGUGCCAGGUGUAAAGGGCGGAGCUUAUAACAAUGAUUGACAGGGAGCUAAGAUGGAGGCGGCUCUCUCUAUACUGACUGCCAGGUGUAAAGGGCGGAGCUUAUAACAAUGAUUGACAGGGAGCUAAGAUGGAGGCGGCUCUCUCUGUGCUGACUGCCAGGUGUAAAGGGCGGAGCUUAUAACAAUGAUUGACAGGGAGCUAAGAUGGAGGUGGCUCUCUCUAUACUGACUGCCAGGUGUAAAGGGCGGAGCUUAUAACA
Non-coding RNA from Pelobates cultripes (western spadefoot toad), 456 nucleotides. NCBI's taxonomy places the organism in Eukaryota, Metazoa, Chordata, Amphibia, Anura, Pelobatidae. The record is from the annotation of a GenBank genome assembly.